CCUACGGGUGGCUGCAGUGGGGAAUAUUGCACAAUGGGGGAAACCCUGAUGCAGCGACGCCGCGUGAGCGAUGAAGUAUUUCGGUAUGUAAAGCUCUAUCAGCAGGGAAGAAAAUGUCGGUACCUGACUAAGAAGCCCCGGUGAACUACGUGCCAGCAGCCGCGGUAAUGCGUAGGGGGCAAGCGUUAUCCGGAUUUACUGGGUGUAAAGGGAGCGUAGACGGCGGUGCAAGCCAGAUGUGAAAGCCUGGGGCUCAACCCCGGGACUGCAUUUGGAACUGUGCUGCUAGAGUGUCGGAGAGGCAGGCGGAAUCCCUAGUGUAGCGUUGAAAUGCGUAGAUAUUAGGAGGAACACCAGUGGCGAAGGCGGCCUGCUGGACGAUGACUGACGUUGAGGCUCGAAAGCGUGGGGAGCAAACAGGAUUAGAUACCCGAGUAGUC
This 440-nucleotide ribosomal RNA is filed under the name uncultured bacterium. RNAcentral describes it as "partial 16S ribosomal RNA". It matches the Rfam family "Bacterial small subunit ribosomal RNA", at positions 338 to 795 of the family's 1533-position model. The record is from RNAcentral.